UCUUGAAGUCAUGGCUGGCGUACCUGCAAAUAGAAAACUCCAAUUAAUAAUGCACACCCACUGAUAAAUGGAGGUUUUCACUUAGAAUUGAACAGGAUCUGAGGGGUUUACUAUCAUCUUCUCAGAAUCAUCACUCAUUUUCCACAACUAACUACAAAGUUUCCUUAAGACAGUGGAUCAAUUCAAAGUAAUUUAUAACUCAAUACUAUGGUGCUGGAUUUCUUUGGGGGGGGGGGGGGGGG
RNAcentral lists this unclassified non-coding RNA (242 nucleotides) under Hevea brasiliensis (rubber tree). Lineage: Eukaryota; Viridiplantae; Streptophyta; Magnoliopsida; Malpighiales; Euphorbiaceae. The record is from RNAcentral.